Molecule: long non-coding RNA, 453 nt
Filed under: Rattus norvegicus (Norway rat)
Lineage: Eukaryota; Metazoa; Chordata; Mammalia; Rodentia; Muridae
Description: long non-coding RNA NONRATT007059
Source: RNAcentral
CAAGACAAACGUAAAUGGUAAAUGGUUCUUCUGAGUUUGGAUUAACCUUUGUGUGGUGUGUUACACUAACACACUAAUUUACCAGAUCAAGUAGGCCAAGGCUUCUGGGUUUCUUUUUUCUUUCCUUAAAAUAGACGUAUGCUUGCUUUUAAUAAUGUGUUUGUGUAUGUCUUGUACAGGGGUGUGCACAUGGGUGCCCCCGACAGCUGGAGGUCGUGGUUGUGGCAGCCUGAUUGGGCGGGCACUAGGAACCCAACUCAGGUCCUCUGCAGACUCAGCACUUACACUCUUAACCCUAAGCCAUCUCUCCAGCCCUGGCCAGGCAUGGUGGUUAAGGCACACUCAGUCCUAGCGCUUUGGAGGCAGAGCAGGCAGGUCUGUGAGUCCCUGUCCAUCCACGGCCACAUAGUAAGGCUCUGUCUCAAAACAAACAAGUUAAAAAAUGAUCACAAA